UACGGUUGAGACGCCACCGGCCGGGGCGUUCUCCCGAAAAACCUCACCAGGACACUUAUUGAUCUGGACACCGGACCUCUGCGGUUCAAUAUCCACUUUUAUGAAACUCUCCGGAAAAGUUUUUUGGAUUCCAAUUCAGUACCAGCCAUCAAGCCUGUAAUAACUAGUGACACUACUUCAUUCUAAUCAGUUCAUCCAUCUAUUAUCCUUUAAGGAUAGUGACCCCAGCAUAUCUCCAUGUCCACCCAGGCAUUAUUUCAGAAGAACUCCUGGAGUGCUCCGGAGUGCCCAUCACAACUGAACUCCAUGCAAAAAAAAUGUUUGUGGGUUUUGAAGAAACUGGAGGCCAUUGGCCAUGAGGAAGAGGACAGAAGCUGGAAUCUGUCCACACAUCACAUUUUUAGAAGGGGCUCUUCUAAGUACGAAAGACUCUUGUCAUGAAGGGACUGAAUAAUUCUUAGGCUGCAGCAGCAUUAAAAGUGGCAUUUUGUGUUGAAUCUGCAGAUACCACUUAUAAGCCGUGUUCAGCUAUUUUUACCUUGUUAUUGUUCGAUGCGUUGUUAGACACAAGUAUUGAUCGAUCCUUCAUCUGAAUACCUCAAAGCCUCACCUCUCUCUUCUGAGCUUUCAAGUUCUUGCCGUAUAACAAGAUAUAUACAGUGGGGAUCAAAAGUUU
This is a long non-coding RNA of Hyla sarda, 676 nucleotides long. RefSeq lists it as uncharacterized. The record is from RefSeq and is a predicted model, not a curated record. Lineage: Eukaryota; Metazoa; Chordata; Amphibia; Anura; Hylidae. The transcript is spliced from 3 exons.